RNAcentral lists this ribosomal RNA (1348 nucleotides) under metagenome. Its description in RNAcentral is "bacterial LSU rRNA". It matches the Rfam family "Bacterial large subunit ribosomal RNA", at positions 1564 to 2925 of the family's 2925-position model. The record is from RNAcentral.
UGAGUACGAGCUGCUACGGCAGCGAAGUGGGUGAUGUCAAGCUUCCAAGAAAAGCCCUAUACCCGUUAAGGCAUGACGGCCUGUACCCGAAACCGACACAGGUGGGGUGGUAGAGAAUACCGAGGGGCGCGAGAUAACUCUCUCUAAGGAACUCGGCAAAAUGGCCCCGUAACUUCGGGAGAAGGGGUGCCACCGCAAGGUGGUCGCAGUGAAGAGGCCCAGGCGACUGUUUACCAAAAACACAGGUCUCCGCUAAGUCGCAAGACGAUGUAUGGGGGCUGACGCCUGCCCAGUGCCGGAAGGUUAAGGAAGCUGGUCAGCGCAAGCGAAGCUAGCGACUGAAGCCCCGGUGAACGGCGGCCGUAACUAUAACGGUCCUAAGGUAGCGAAAUUCCUUGUCGGGUAAGUUCCGACCCGCACGAAAGGCGUAACGAUCUGGGCGCUGUCUCGGAGAGAGGCUCGGCGAAAUAGAAUUGUCUGUGAAGAUGCGGACUACGUGCACCCGGACAGAAAGACCCUAUGAAGCUUUACUGUAGCUUGGUAUUGUGCCCGGGCUCUGAAUGCGCAGGAUAGGUGGGAGGCUUUGAUCCAUUGCUUGUGGGUAAUGGUGAGCCACUGGUGAGAUACCACUCUUUCAGAGCUAGGGUUCUAACGGUCACCCGUUAUCCGGGGACCGGACAGUAUCAGGUGGGCAGUUUGACUGGGGCGGUCGCCUCCUAAAAGGUAGCGGAGGCGCGCAAAGGUUCCCUCAGGCUGUUGGAAAUCAGCCGACGAGUGUUAAGGCAGAAGGGAGCUUGACUGUGAGACCUACAAGUCGAACAGGGACGAAAGUCGGCCUUAGUGAUCCGACGGUUCUGAGUGGAAGGGCCGUCGCUCAACGGAUAAAAGUUACUCUAGGAUAACAGGCUGAUCUCCCCCAAGAGUUCACAUCGACGGGGAGGUUUGGCACCUCGAUGUCGGCUCAUCGCAACCUGGGGCUGAAGUCGGUCCCAAGGGUUGGGCUGUUCGCCCAUUAAAGCGGUACGCGAGCUGGGUUCAGAACGUCGUGAGACAGUUCGGUCCAUAUCCGGUGCACGCGCAGGAACAUUGAGAGGAUUUCUCCCUAGUACGAGAGGACCGGGAGGAACGCACCUCUGGUGUACCAGUUAUCGUGCCAACGGUAAACGCUGGGUAGCCAUGUGCGGAGCGGAUAACCGCUGAAAGCAUCUAAGUGGGAAGCCCACCUCAAGAUGAGUGUUCCCAUGGCAUAAGCCAGUAAGGUCACGGGAAGAACACCCGUUGAUAGGCUCUACGUGGAAGCGUGGCAACACGUGAAGCGGAGGAGUACUAAUAGACCGAGGGCUUGACC